Molecule: long non-coding RNA, 2147 nt
Filed under: Medicago truncatula (barrel medic)
Lineage: Eukaryota; Viridiplantae; Streptophyta; Magnoliopsida; Fabales; Fabaceae
Description: lncRNA gene40195
Source: RNAcentral
UAUAACUACUAUAUACUUCCUCCAUUGUUAAUUAUAAUCAAAUUUUGAUUUUCUAGGUUCAUUCAAUUAACGAUGUAUGUGGUCUAUAUUAUAGACCACAUACAUUUUUAAUGGAAUAAAUCUAAAAAGUCAAAAUUUGCUUAUAUUUGACAACUGAUAGAGUAUAUUUGUGUUGUCCUUUAUGUUUAUAAUAUUUAUUUGAAUCUAUGAACAAUAUCAAUAAAUAUAAUGUUUAGUGUUGGAUCUUGAACAAGCUAACAAAUAUAUUUUAAUGCAUAUACAAACUUAAUCAAUGAUGGAGUAUGGAUUUGUUCAAAUCUUAUAGAUUUUACAAUUUUUAUGCACAUUAUCUUUGCACUCAAUGAACAGUUUUAAUAAAAAAAACAUUUAAGGCUAGGCUUUAGAGCUGAUGGAGGAGUAAAAAAAACCUUCAAGAAAACCAAAAUUUUUAUUACCUAUCUCUUAAGUACUUGAGUGAGUUGUGUUAGUAUUUUUUAAAAACUUAUAAUUAAUUAUGUCUUAAAUACAUUAAAGUGUUGUGUGUCUUUGCAGUAAACUUUGUAAAAAGGUAAUAUAAAAAAAUGACCAAUCAUAUGAACUCUUUCUUAUCAUAUGUAUUUUGCAUUGAUGAUACAAAAUGGCUUACCGUCAACAUUCAAUGCAACAACAAAUAGAGAAAUGAAGAUCAUGGCAAAUAGAGUAAGGGACUUGUGAAAAAUGAUAUAAGUCUUGUUGUCUUUAUUCAACUGCUAAGGUCCUUAUAUAUGAGAGAACAAGAGAGCGGUUGUUGAAGAAGUUAUAGCACAUCAAAUUGCCUCAAAUAGAUAAUGUCGUUGAGUAGUCAUUUGAAAUUACUUUGCUUCUAAUAAAAUGACUUGUUAUAUUUUCUUUGUCAUUGAAUUUCUUUGUUUGUUUCUGCACUUGUGGUGUCUCCCAAAACACUAAAUAUUUUAAGGUGGAAAAACUUAGUGCAAGUAUACACUGUCUAAGUUGUAGUAUAAAAAAAUGUCAAUCAUGUAACUCUCUCAAACCCCAAUACGAUAUUUAAUAAUAAAUCAACAGAUAAUCACAAAGGUUCAAGGUGCUACUUCAUCAUAAAUCCAAAAUAGUCAUAAAUCAUUAUAAUCAUAAAACAGUCGCAGCGGAGUCACAACAUAAAGUUAUCAUCUCAACAUCUCAUACUACAUCAUCCAGAUAACUCUAAGCUCCUCUAAAACAUAAAAAUCCAAAAGUAAAGAUAAAUAGUCUCCCAAACACCCUAAUCAUAGUACAACCACUAAGACUCCAAAAACAAAAGCAAAGAAGGAGGAUAGGCCUCAAGUCCUCCUCCGGUACUCACGUCGAUCAAGCGACCAAAUUGCCACUAGAGGGAAAUCAUCCACUACAUGUGUAGAUCUAUGAAGAAAAAGGGACCAUAGGCAAAGUCAAUCAAUUUAAAUAGGUCUUGGAAGAACAAUGGAGAGCAAAGGAAUCCAAAGCAUCUGAAGAAAACUGCGUCUGAAGCUAAAGUGCUUAUGAAGUAACAAGUGCUUCUGAAGUAAUGACGUCAUCAGAAGCAGAAGUUCAUCAGAAGCAGAAUUUCAUCAGAAGCGAUAUCAUCACCAGAAGCUACAUUUGAUCAGUAAAUUUAAAUUGACGAUUCAAAGGAGCUGUUUUUCGUUUCAACCUCGUCUAAGAGAACGAAGAAUUGAAAGGGAGGUAUCAACGGUCAUUUGAAGAGCACUGGGUACUUGUCCUUCGUUAUUAGAGUUGACAAAGUACAAGUGUACAACCACUACCUCCACUACUCUGUUUUUGUCUACACUACAAGACAAGACAACAACUAUGCCUACAGAAAUGUUCCUUCAAGAUGGGAAUGAAUUUGAAGUUGAUUCUUCAAAGAACUACACCCAAAUCAGGCAAAAGAUUACUGGUGGAUGAUCAAAGGAACUCAAUGACUCUUUAGACGUGCUAAAAAUCUCAACGUCUCUUUCACACCUCUAUAUAAAGGAGUGAGGACUUGAAGAUUAAAAAAAAAGAGAAAUCAACACAAGUUAAAAGCGCCAAAACUCUGCCAAAUUUGAUUCCACAAAGCACUUUGAAUUUCUGCAUUGAUUUGAUAUAUCUUAGAAAUUCUUAAGUCUAGAGUCUUUAUUGCAUUGAAUUGU